GACGAACGCUGGCGGCGUGCCUAAUACAUGCAAGUAGGACGCAGUUGCGAACGGGUGAGUAACGCGUAGGUAACUACCUAUUAGAGGGGGAUAACAAUUGGAAACGAUAGCUAAUACCGCAUACUAGUAGAUGGACCUGCGUUGUAUUAGCUAGUAGGUAGGGUAAUGGCCUACCUAGGCAACGAUACAUAGCCGACCCGAGUGGGUGAUCGGCCACACGGGGACUGGGACACGGCCCAGACUCCUACGGGGGGCAGCAGUAGGGGAUCAUCGGCAAUGGGGGGAAACCUGACCGAGCAACGCCGCGGGAGUGAAGAAGGUUUUCGGGUCGUAAAACUCUGUUGUUAAGGGAGCGGUACUUAACCAGAAAGGGACGGCUAACUACGUGCCAGCAGCCGCGGUAAUAC
This 407-nucleotide ribosomal RNA is filed under the name uncultured bacterium. RNAcentral describes it as "partial 16S ribosomal RNA". It matches the Rfam family "Bacterial small subunit ribosomal RNA", at positions 28 to 526 of the family's 1533-position model. The record is from RNAcentral.